GACGAACGCUGGCGGCGCGCCUAACACAUGCAAGUCGAACGAGCGAGCGAGAGCUUGCUUUCUUGAGCGAGUGGCGAACGGGUGAGUAACGCGUGAGGAACCUGCCUCAAAGAGGGGGACAACAGUUGGAAACGACUGCUAAUACCGCAUAAGCCCACGGUGCCGCAUGGCACAAAGGGAAAAGGAGCAAUCCGCUUUGAGAUGGCCUCGCGUCCGAUUAGCUAGUUGGUGAGGUAACGGCCCACCAAGGCGACGAUCGGUAGCCGGACUGAGAGGUUGAACGGCCACAUUGGGACUGAGACACGGCCCAGACUCCUACGGGAGGCAGCAGUGGGGAAUAUUGCACAAUGGGGGAAACCCUGAUGCAGCGACGCCGCGUGGAGGAAGAAGGUCUUCGGAUUGUAAACUCCUGUUGUUGGGGAAGAUAAUGACGGUACCCAACAAGGAAGUGACGGCUAACUACGUG
Molecule: ribosomal RNA, 466 nt
Filed under: uncultured bacterium
Lineage: Bacteria
Description: partial 16S ribosomal RNA
Rfam family: Bacterial small subunit ribosomal RNA
Source: RNAcentral